UACGGGGGGGGCAAGCGUUGUUCGGAAUUACUGGGCGUAAAGGGCUCGUAGGUGGCCAACUAAGUCAGACGUGAAAUCCCUCGGCUUAACCGGGGAACUGCGUCUGAUACUGAAUGGCUUGAGUUUGGGAGAGGGAUGCGGAAUUCCAGGUGUAGCGGUGAAAUGCGUAGAUAUCUGGAGGAGCACCGGUGGCGAAGGCGGCAUCCUGGACCAAUACUGACACUGAGGAGCGAAAGCCAGGGGAGCAAACGGG
Molecule: ribosomal RNA, 253 nt
Filed under: uncultured bacterium
Lineage: Bacteria
Description: partial 16S ribosomal RNA
Rfam family: Bacterial small subunit ribosomal RNA
Source: RNAcentral